Molecule: ribosomal RNA, 273 nt
Filed under: uncultured bacterium
Lineage: Bacteria
Description: partial 16S ribosomal RNA
Rfam family: Bacterial small subunit ribosomal RNA
Source: RNAcentral
UACGUAGGGACCAAGCGUUGUUCGGAUUUACUGGGCGUAAAGGGAGCGUAGGCGGCGCGUCAAGUCAGUUGUGAAAUCUUAAGGCUUAACCUUAAGCGGUCAACUGAUACUGUCGUGCUAGAGUGCAGAAGGGGCAAUCGGAAUUCUUGGUGUAGCGGUGAAAUGCGUAGAUAUCAAGAGGAACACCUGAGGUGAAGACGGGUUGCUGGGCUGACACUGACGCUGAGGCUCGAAAGCUAGGGGAGCAAACGGGAUUAGAAACCCGAGUAGUCC